Molecule: long non-coding RNA, 3290 nt
Organism: Aquila chrysaetos chrysaetos
Lineage: Eukaryota; Metazoa; Chordata; Aves; Accipitriformes; Accipitridae
Exons: 5
Source: RefSeq, a predicted model, not a curated record
UUCAUCAGUUAUGAGAACAUAGUGUGACAAGAUAACUUCCUAGGUGAAUUUAGCCAUUGCAUAUACAGGAAAUGCUGACAAGGAUUUGUCAGUCUGAAUUGGUAAGUGACUGUACCAUUUCCUAAAGGCUAGAAUAAGAUGUAAAAUUUUCAUAAUGCUGUAAAGAAGGUCUGUGUGAUAAUUCAGAAUUUUCUCCUGGGUCCACAGAGAAGUAAUGUAUAGUCAGCACCACAAAGAAUCUGAAAUCAGAAGGACACCAUGCAGAACCAUAGAAAUAGAGAAAGACUGCCUUAGAAUGGAAAAGGCCAUACUUUUGAUUUCUGAACUUAAUGUAAAACAUUGAUUUAUAUGCAACACAUACAUAGGGAUAUGGAAGCAGUAAGCAUGCAUUUGUCUUUCACUUUGGUUGAAAAGAAGAGCCUUGACUGCUUGACCUGAAAGACUGAAUAUGUUAAGUGCAUGUGGUGCAACGAUAGAAAGACUUACUGAAUAGCUGCUCUAAAACAAGUAUCAGAUUCUGAAAGGACUUACCAUAUGCUCUGAAUACAUGACUAUGAAUACGCACAUACUUUGACUGUGAAGUUUCUCAAACCACCGUCGUGCACAACCAUAGUACCUUCUAAAAUGAGGGUUAUCAUGCAGCCUUCUCACCUGCUAAUAUUUGUACUCAUCUUGAGUCCCUGCCUACACUGGUACUGGCACCAGAACCUGAUCACCAGCUGACAGAGGUGGAAUGUGAAAAAAUAGGACUCACAAAUGCUCGGAGAAGCAUUUUAUAUCAUACAUGCACACCUGAAACUGGGAGAGGGCCUGCCUUCCAUUAUUGUGUCUCCAUACAUGGAUCCAGGGCUGAGUCUAGUAGCGUAUUCUCAGUUCUUUGUGCUGAAAUUCUUUGCUUCCUUCCCCAGUUACACACCAGCUGUGUGAGACUGCUCAUUUUCUCCUGGGGAGAAUUGUGGAAGAGCAGGAAAGGUCUGCCUUUGCUAUGGACUUAGGAAAAACCUCAGUUGAACUUCAACUCAUGAAACUGAAUUUAUGAAAACCUAAGAAUCACAUCUUAGGAUGGAAGAAAAGAGAGGUAUCAUCUCACUCGUCAGAGAGGGAAAAAAGCUUAUGCAAGAAGAAAAUGAGACCUGGAAUUGGGUAGCAACAGUAGUAUAUGUCUUGCUAUUUUGUACCUUGACGCAUGAAAACGAUGAAGAAAGAUAACUCUGAUGUCUUUAAAUGUCUGUUUAAAGCAGUGAAAAUAAGGUAGGGCAAAGCAGGAUCUGGAAUCUCCAUGAAUUUCAACACAUAUUUUUAUGCCACGAUUUACCACUCCUGAGGAAACACAACAAAAAGAGUUAAAGUAGGAAAGCCAUCUAAUUUUGAGCUAUGAAACUUGUAGAAGUUCAAUCUGUUCUGUAGAAAAAGAGAAAGAAAACUUUUCAUCUUGCCUAUAUUCUGUGUGCUCUGUGUACACAGACAAUGCAUAAAUUCCUGCUGGGAGUAAUAUUUGUAUAUUGUAAUGUAAUUAUCUGAAAAAACCCUAUGCCGAAUUAUCAAGAAGUUGUAUUCAUCCUAUCAUUUAUCUAGACAUUAUACCGAUUGUGUGAAAAAUGCCUGAAAACUUCAGUUUCUUUAACUACUUUUUUAGUUUGGGGGGGGGGGUUAAAUAAUUUAAUAAAAUUUAUAAAUAAGAACAUGUUUUCAUGAAGCACAAAUAACAAAAAAAAAUGUACACUGAACUUUUAUUCCUACAAAUACUUCCAUGUACCAUCUGACUUAUCUGGUAAAUGUUUCCCUGUGUUUUGUUGGAAAACAUGGAUCACAUUCAGCUCUGGAUUCAAUCACUCAAAUAUUAGUUUUAAUCAAACAGGUGUUUACACAUUAGCUAGGGACCCAAGCGCCAUGACGGUGUAGUUAUGAGAGUCUAUAUUUCUUCCUGAAAUAAGCAUUUACAUUUGGUCAGCUCAAUUGCUCUUCAGGCUCGAUUGGUAGGAAUCUCUCUCCCAAACACAGACACUGGCUGUCCUGCUCCAGAAGAGAAGAUGUCUCCCACCAACCCAGAACGUAUCCCAGACAAGGUGGCUUGGAUGACUUCAGGCACCCGUGUGCAGGCAAACAAACUGAACCCUUAAGUAAAACCCAAACUUUAUGACUCAAAAUACAUCUUUAUAAUGAUAUCAGAGUCAGAAGCAAUUAGGAUAAAAAUUGUGAUCACAUUAGUGAGACUACUUGAAAGAAAGAAUGUCAAGAAUCAGCAUAGGAAAUCUAAACCUUUAUGUUCUGUCAAAGCCUAGUAUUUAAUAGAAGGUGUUCAUUUGAGAGACUAUUCAACUGCAUGUCAGCUGUACUUUUAACCCCAAUAAUUCAUACUGCUUUAAAAACUUGUUGUCAAUAAGCAUUAAAAAUCACUUUGAUUACUGAAAUUAAAGCAUUCCUCCGAAAAAAUACAAGUAAUGUUCCAGCAGUGUUCAUAAAUGUUAUUCAUCGCAAACAUCAUGUUUAUAAUUCCAGCAUAAACAGAGAAUAAGUGAUGACAUCAAUUUCUGCAAGUGAAGAAGCAAUGUAUACCAUGAAUUCUCUUUUCAGCUCUUUCAAAACCGGAACAUUGCACUGCAAAACUGAAAUUGGAAGCAAACUCCUAACAUCCUUUCAAAGCAAGCAUUUUAUAUUAAUGAGCUGUAUAUUCUGGUAUCACCCAUUCAUCUAAUUUUUUCCUUAUGUGAAUUUUCUUGACAUGUGUUUUCUCUAUCUUUGGGUGAAACUGACCUGUGAAUGUAGGAUGUUGCAUUGGUAGGACUUCACUGCCAGGUUACAAUUCAUGUAACCUGUCUUACAUGCCUCUAGAGGUAUCCACUUCUUUCUAUCAAUAAUGGGAGAAGUUAUCUCGAAUUCAGCUUAAUUUUAGACAUCUGAAGCCAGGGGAAAUAAUAAUAUCAUAUAUGUUCAUCACCUUAGAAGACCUACAUUGCAUACAGUUUUCCGAAAUGGAAAUAUUUUCACACAGAACCACAGUCUUACAGAAUGAGCGAGGCUGGAAGGCACCUCUAGGAUGGUCAAGUCCAAGAGCAGGGUCAGCUAGAGCAGGUUGCUCAGGACCUCGUUCAGUUGUGUUUUGAGUAUCUCCAAGGAUGGAGACUCCACAACCUCCCUGGGCAACCUGUUCCUGUGUUUGACCACUCUCGCAGUAAAAGAGCUUUUCCUUACGUUUAUCUGGAAUUCCCUGCGUUUCAGCUUGUGCCUGUUGCCUCUCACCCUGUCACUGGACACCACUGAGAAAAGUCUGUCUCUGUCUGAAAUAAGUA